GACGAACGCUGGCGGCGUGCUUAACACAUGCAAGUCGAACGGAAAGGCCCCUUUGGGGGUACUCGAGUGGCGAACGGGUGAGUAACACGUGAGUAACCUGCCCUUGACUUCGGGAUAACUUCAGGAAACUGGGGCUAAUACCGGAUAGGCAUCCUUGCUGCAUGGUGGGGGUUGGAAAGCUUCGGCGGUUUUGGAUGGACUCGCGGCUUAUCAGCUUGUUGGUUGGGUAGUGGCUUACCAAGGCUUUGACGGGUAGCCGGCCUGAGAGGGCUACCGGCCACAUUGGGACUGAGAUACGGCCCAGACUCCUACGGGAGGCAGCAGUGGGGAAUAUUGCACAAUGGGCGGAAGCCUGAUGCAGCAACGCCGCGGGCGGGAUGACGGCCUUCGGGUUGUAAACCGCUUUCAGCAGGGGCGAAGCUUGUGGUGACGGUACCUGCAGAAGAAGCACCGGCUAACUACGUG
RNAcentral lists this ribosomal RNA (465 nucleotides) under uncultured bacterium. RNAcentral's name for it is "partial 16S ribosomal RNA". It matches the Rfam family "Bacterial small subunit ribosomal RNA", at positions 28 to 507 of the family's 1533-position model. The record is from RNAcentral.